RNAcentral lists this long non-coding RNA (265 nucleotides) under Phoenix dactylifera (date palm). Its description in RNAcentral is "long non-coding RNA (PDAC_LNC001141)". The record is from RNAcentral. Lineage: Eukaryota; Viridiplantae; Streptophyta; Magnoliopsida; Arecales; Arecaceae.
UUUGAGGGCCACAAUCGACACCUAUGCAAUUUGAACACACCAUGUCAGCCAAGCGAGAGGCACCAACCAAAUCCUUGACAAAAACGAUGGAUUAACAUACAGUUUUGAAACCUUAAAUGUCCCACCAUCUCUUCUCCGGAGCAACUUUUCUUCGCACAUUUCAUGUGAAGAUCAUCGGAUAUUCAUUUGCUGCAUUUGCACUUCCGACCAAUAUUCAAAGCAUCUAUUGAACGCUCUCUAGGUCUACCUGCUCCUAACUCAAACA